This 304-nucleotide ribosomal RNA is filed under the name uncultured bacterium. RNAcentral's name for it is "partial 16S ribosomal RNA". It matches the Rfam family "Bacterial small subunit ribosomal RNA", at positions 506 to 807 of the family's 1533-position model. The record is from RNAcentral.
CAGCAGUAGCCGCGGGAAUACAGAGGUUGCGAGCGUUAAUCGGAUUUACUGGGCGUAAAGCGUGCGUAGGCGGCUUCUUAAGUCGGAUGUGAAAUCCCUGAGCUUAACUUAGGAAUUGCAUUCGAUACUGGGAAGCUAGAGUAUGGGAGAGGAUGGUAGAAUUCCAGGUGUAGCGGUGAAAUGCGUAGAGAUCUGGAGGAAUACCGAUGGCGAAGGCAUCCAUCUGGCCUAAUACUGACGCUGAGGUACGAAAGCAUGGGGAGCAAACAGGAUUAGAUACCCCAGUAGUCCCUGUCUCUUAUAC